This 73-nucleotide transfer RNA is filed under the name Ovis aries (sheep). It matches the Rfam family "tRNA". Rfam says of the family: Transfer RNA (tRNA) molecules are approximately 80 nucleotides in length. The record is from Rfam by way of RNAcentral. Lineage: Eukaryota; Metazoa; Chordata; Mammalia; Artiodactyla; Bovidae.
UCCCUGGUGGUCCAGGAGCUAAGACUCCACACUUCCAAUGCAGAGGGCCCAGGUCUGAUCCCUGGCCCGGGAA